This 102-nucleotide ribosomal RNA is filed under the name Peptococcus niger. RNAcentral describes it as "Bacterial large subunit ribosomal RNA". It matches the Rfam family "Bacterial large subunit ribosomal RNA", at positions 2823 to 2925 of the family's 2925-position model. The record is from Rfam by way of RNAcentral. Lineage: Bacteria; Bacillati; Bacillota; Clostridia; Eubacteriales; Peptococcaceae.
ACUAGAUAAGACCCCAGAGAGACGAACUGGUAGAUAGGUCGGGCGUGUAAGAAGAGCAAUCUUUUGAGCGGACCGAUACUAAUAGGUCGAAGACUUAACCGA